ACGCGAAGAACCUUCCAGCCCUUGACAUCCCGGUCGCGGGAACGAGAGAUCGAUCCCUUCAGUUCGGCUGGACCGGAGACAGGUGCUGCAUGGCUGUCGUCAGCUCGUGUCGUGAGAUGUUGGGUUAAGUCCCGCAACGAGCGCAACCCUCGCCCUUAGUUGCCAUCAUUUAGUUGGGCUCUCUUAGGGGACUGCCGGUGAUAAGCCGCGAGGAAGGUGGGGAUGACGUCAAGUCCUCAUGGCCCUUACGAGCUGGGCUACACACGUGCUACAAUGGCGGUGACAGUGGGAUGCAAUGGGGCAACCCUGCGCAAAUCUCAAAAAGCCGUCUCAGUUCGGAUUGUGCUCUGCAACUCGAGCACAUGAAGUUGGAAUCGCUAGUAAUCGCAGAUCAUCACGCUGCGGUGAAUACGUUCCCGGGUCUUGUACACACCG
Molecule: ribosomal RNA, 435 nt
Filed under: uncultured bacterium
Lineage: Bacteria
Description: bacterial SSU rRNA
Rfam family: Bacterial small subunit ribosomal RNA
Source: RNAcentral